UGGGGAAUUUUGCGCAAUGGGCUAACGCCUGACGCAGCAACGCCGCGUGGAGGAUGAAGGUCUUUGGAUUGUAAACUCCUGUCAGCAGGGAAAAAGGGAGGUGACCUAAUACGUCAUCAACUUGAUUGUACCUGCAGAGGAAGCCCCGGCUAACUCUGUGCCAGCAGCCGCGGUAAGACGGAGGAGGCUAGCGUUGUUCGGAAUUACUGGGCGUAAAGCGCGCGCAGGCGGCUUUGCAAGUCAGGGGUGAAAGCCCGGGGCUCAACCUCGGAACUGCCUUUGAGACUGCAAGGCUCGAGACCGGGAGAGGAGAGUGGAAUUCCCAGUGUAGAGGUGAAAUUCGUAGAUAUUGGGAAGAACACCAGUGGCGAAGGCGGCUCUCUGGCCCGGACCUGACGCUGAGGCGCGAAAGCGUGGGGAGCAAA
This 425-nucleotide ribosomal RNA is filed under the name uncultured bacterium. RNAcentral describes it as "bacterial SSU rRNA". It matches the Rfam family "Bacterial small subunit ribosomal RNA", at positions 355 to 772 of the family's 1533-position model. The record is from RNAcentral.